UUUUUCACGUAAAUUAAGCUUUUCUUCCAUCCCAUCGAUUCUGCGUGCGUCUUGUAGUAGUUACUUUAAUUCCACAUAAAUGACUCAAAAAUUUCACGUAAAAUGUAUGUGGAUGACCAAAACUCCUUUUGUAAUUAACUUUUCAUGAGCGUGUUUUUGUUUACGUUUUAAAUUCUAAUAAGAAAAUUUCUCAGGAAAUCAGUCAGGAGCUGAUAGCUUCCCGUCCCGGUCCACAAAUUUACGUCCCUAUUUUUUCGGUAUCGGUGGUCAUUUUCGGUUCCGUUUCGUGGAAUUACCAGCCGCUUCCACGUACUUGGGUGUGAGACUGAAUCAGCGGCGCGGCACCGGAAUUAAAACAAAGUGUUUUCUUGUUUCCCUCGGAACCAGCAGAAUAAAGUUAAAAAAAAAAAAGUUAAAAACUGAACGGCAUCCAAGUACGCACCGUCAGUACAAAGGGCAAACGGGAAGCUGCAUGAUGGUGCUGCUGAUGGGGCAUCCGGAUUCCCAGCCGAGCGAAGUGGCACUAGUAGUGAGGAUCCUGAAGGUAGCCAAAAUUGUUUUAUAAAUGAAGCAACCAUGUAAUAUGUUCAACGUCAAGUUCAACAUCAGUACUCCAGGAAACAAGUUCUCUGUAGAUGUAGAUCAGAAUUUCGAAAACCAAUUUGCGCUUAACAACGGCCGUCGGAUGAUUCAUGGAAUCCAUUGUUUGCAUGUUUUGGAGUUAAAAUAGUGGUUAGUGAAAAGUGGUUUAUUUGUAAUAAUAAAAGAAAAAUGAAAGAAACGAUAAAAUCAACCAAACAUCGAAUUAUUUUUAUUAGGCAAUCAUUUCAAAUUUAUUCCAAAACCAUUAAGAUUCAAGUAAACUAACAAUAACUUCCAUCGUUGAAAUGGCGUUGAACUCACUAAUAAUUCACGUAUGUUGUAGCUGAUGUUCAUUAUACACCAAUUCUAAUUAGGGGAGCGUUUACUUAUUUUAUCCGUAGAAUUUACGUGAAAAUCAAUUGGAUAAAAAUUAUGUAGUUUUUCACGUAGCCG
Long non-coding RNA from Uranotaenia lowii, 1035 nucleotides. RefSeq lists it as uncharacterized. The transcript has 4 exons. Lineage: Eukaryota; Metazoa; Arthropoda; Insecta; Diptera; Culicidae. The record is from RefSeq and is a predicted model, not a curated record.